CAGGGAUAAAUGCAAAAAAUACUGUACUUGCCAACUUGAUUCAAGUGCCUGUAAGUACUUUACUUUAACAUAUAUUAACAUGUUGGGGGCAACUCUCCCGGCCUUGCAUGCUGUGGUGGAGGGCGUGUGUGGGUAUGCAGCAGUGCCCAGGGUGGUGGAGGCAGGCGGGUGGCUAGCAGUUACUGCACACGUGUUGAUUUUGCUCUGUGAUGUUCUUGUGUUUUGAUGAUCAGCUGUUCUGAGCGUCGCCAUUCAGCCAUCUUGACGCUCACCUUCCUCCCUCUCCACCUCCUCGGGCCCUUCCCAGACAUACACAUGCCCCUCACCACCAUGUAGGCCAGGGGCGGCAGCUGCAGGACACUGAGCAGAGUUAACAAGUUGAGCUUCCAAGUUGAAGUCUUCCAAACAGCCAAACAGUGUGUGUGUGUGUGUGU
Long non-coding RNA from Portunus trituberculatus (swimming crab), 434 nucleotides. RefSeq lists it as uncharacterized. Lineage: Eukaryota; Metazoa; Arthropoda; Malacostraca; Decapoda; Portunidae. The record is from RefSeq and is a predicted model, not a curated record. The transcript has 3 exons.